GAAUAUUGGCCCAUGGGCGAAAGCCUGAUCCACCCAUCCUGCGUGUGUGAAGAAGGUCUUCGGAUCAUAAAGCACUUUAAGUUGGGAGGAAGUGCAGUCAGCGAAUACCUUGCUGUUUUGACCUUACCGACAGAAUAAGCACCGGCUAACUCUGUGCCAGCAGCCGCGGUAAUACAGAGGGGGCAAGAGUUAACCGGAAUUACUGGGCGUAAAGCGCGCGUAGGUGGUUCGUGAAGUUGGAUGUGAAAUCCCCGGGCUCAACCUGGGAACUGCAUCCAAAACUGGCGAGCUAGAGUAGGGCAGAGGGUGGUGGAAUUUCCUGUGUAGCGGUGAAAUGCGUAGAUAUAGGAAGGAACACCAGUGGCGAAGGCUACCACCUGGGCUCAUACUGACACUGAGGUGCGAAAGCGUGGGGAGCAAACA
Molecule: ribosomal RNA, 423 nt
Filed under: uncultured bacterium
Lineage: Bacteria
Description: partial 16S ribosomal RNA
Rfam family: Bacterial small subunit ribosomal RNA
Source: RNAcentral